AAGUCUCUUCAGAAAUUCCAGCUCUUCAAAUCUGAGUCUUGAAGUUCCGGUGGCUAAUGUGCAUAGGCCAAGUAAGGAAGAAAAAUUCUCCACCUUUUCAACCUUCCUUUUCUUUUAUUUAGUGACAUACAGGACAGUUUGCCUUUACUUACUAAAGUCAUAAACAUUUGUACUAUGUUCUAAGACUUAUUUCCCAGCUUUGGUGUUACAGUAUUGCAAUAGUCUUAUACAGUUAUUACUUGUUAUUGUGACUAAUGUGCAUAGGCCAAGUAAGGAAGAAAAAUUCUCCACCUUUUCAACCUUCCUUUUCUUUUAUUUAGUGACAUACAGGACAGUUUGCCUUUACUUACUAAAGUCAUAAACAUUUGUACUAUGUUCUAAGACUUAUUUCCCAGCUUUGGUGUUACAGUAUUGCAAUAGUCUUAUACAGUUAUUACUUGUUAUGAAACGUUGCUAUAGGUUUCAUUUGGAUCUAAUGAUAUGAGAAG
This 488-nucleotide long non-coding RNA is filed under the name Nicotiana benthamiana. Its description in RNAcentral is "long non-coding RNA (NBEN_LNC025217)". Lineage: Eukaryota; Viridiplantae; Streptophyta; Magnoliopsida; Solanales; Solanaceae. The record is from RNAcentral.